Long non-coding RNA from Halichondria panicea, 1747 nucleotides. RefSeq lists it as uncharacterized. NCBI's taxonomy places the organism in Eukaryota, Metazoa, Porifera, Demospongiae, Suberitida, Halichondriidae. The transcript is spliced from 5 exons. The record is from RefSeq and is a predicted model, not a curated record.
CUCUGAAUAAAGGCCAAUUGCUAUAUAUAUAACGGCCAGGCACUCAGGUCCCAAAUAACAGUUUGUGUACUACAAUUAAAACAACCUCUCAACAAAGGCCACCAUUGAUCCCCAUGCAUACAAAUUAACCGAAUAGCCGCGGUUUUGAUUUCAUACGUAGUACCGCCCACCGCGGAACCAAAAUCUAAUUAAUUUUAAAUUACUUUCAUUAUCAGCUCCUAGCAAAGAAAGAUGCGUAGCUAAGAAGCAGUAGCAGUUUUCUGCAGGCAACUUUGUUGCAAACUAGUCUAGAAUAGCUACUCUGCCAGGAUGUCUAUGUUUUGAAUGGAGGAGUAUACCAGCCAAGGCCCCAGCAAAGGAUCAUUUCACAAAUAACCUCUGAGUGUGUGAAAUAUACUGGAAGAGUAGCUUCUGUGGCAAAGAAAGAUGCACCCCUUAGUAACAGUAACAGUUCUCUUCAAGCUACCUUGUAGUUCUAUCUGAACAGUCGAAGAGUCAACCAGCCAAGGACAGAGCGAGAGAUUACUUUAGAGGUCUGUGAAACAAUCGUCACUGCUAUCUGCCAUGGAACCACCACCAUCUUAUGGGUCUGAGAAGUCCAACUCACUGUCACUACUAUCCAAGAUACCCAGGAUACCUCAUCCCCAUGUGUACAGAGGCCUCUUUGUUAUUGUUGUACCAUAGAAUUAAUUGUAAUUGUAUUUAUUAUAAUGUAUGUUCACUUUUGAGAUUGAUAUUGAAUUUAUAUAAAUACAAAUUUCACACGAAAUUUUAAGCAAAUUUUUGAUUGGUGACCUAUGGCGAUCGGACUUGGUAUGGCUUCUGUUGACCUUCGAGAGAAGCCUUGCAAAGAUGUGGAGCUCAGAAAGGUUGUAGCUUACCACAAAAUAAAUAAGAGUAGAGUAAUGUGCGGUUGACACAAAUAUGCGUCAUCCGCGGCUAACAGCUUAUUCCUUAAUGACGCAAAUUUGCGUCAACCGCGGCUAAUCGGUUAAGGUGUUUGUUAUAGAGGGAUUCCACUGUACAUGCUCCUAUAGCUAUAAUUAUAGUGUUGUGUGUGUAUUAUGAGUUGCAACAUUAUUGUCCUAUACAAUCGUGUGUGUGUAUUCUAACCCUCUGCCCUUGUACCCACAGCUACUAUACUCAACUACAUCUUAUCAGUCAUAAUUCAAUCAUCAACUCAUUUUAUUUAUUGGGGGCCCCUUCAUAUUUUCAUUUCUUUUUUCGUUUUCGUUGUUAUAAAUCAUGAAAGAAGAAGAAAAAUGAUCAGGAGGAGGAGUGGUCAGGCCACACCUACAAUGUACAUGUGACCACGCCUCUAAUGCAAGGUCACACCCACCUUUCCACACCUUCAUGUGAGCUGUGGGUGUGCCUAGUACUACAUACACACAUGAUGCUUUGUCCCUGUAUAUAGACAGUACGUAUAACUAUAGUCGAUUUCUAACCACCUGGAUUUAACAUAACCUUCAAACCAACUGGAAACUAACAGAAUGUUCCAAUCAACUGGACUGGGAUAGCCUCAAUAGAUAUCCCAGAUGGUCCCAUGGGCGGAUGGACGGGGGGGCCAGCGAUGCAGUGCCACAUACUCGCGACGGUGCUGGCUGUCACACUGCAUGGAGGGAGGACUAUCUCUCUAUAGUGUGCAAGAGCACUGCAAACUGAACACACUUUUGUAAUUUCAAUUUCUCAAUGAUUUGCUAUAAUUAAUGUGGUUUUGAAAAUUUAAUAAGAAAUUUGAACACAACAA